Molecule: transfer RNA, 77 nt
Filed under: Bacteroidales bacterium
Lineage: Bacteria; Pseudomonadati; Bacteroidota; Bacteroidia; Bacteroidales
Description: tRNA-Pro
Rfam family: tRNA
About the family: Transfer RNA (tRNA) molecules are approximately 80 nucleotides in length. Their secondary structure includes four short double-helical elements and three loops (D, anti-codon, and T loops).
Source: RNAcentral
CUGAAUGUAGCGCAGUUUGGCAGCGCAUACGCCUUGGGAGCGUAGGGUCGCAGGUUCGAAUCCUGCCAUUCAGACCA